RNAcentral lists this ribosomal RNA (497 nucleotides) under uncultured bacterium. Its description in RNAcentral is "partial 16S ribosomal RNA". It matches the Rfam family "Bacterial small subunit ribosomal RNA", at positions 28 to 507 of the family's 1533-position model. The record is from RNAcentral.
GAUGAACGCUGGCGGCGUGCCUAAUACAUGCAAGUCGAGCGAACAGACGAUGAUCUUGCUCCUCUGACGUUAGCGGCGGACGGGUGAGUAACACGUGGAUAACCUACCUAUAAGACUUGGAUAACUUCGGGAAACCGGAGCUAAUACCGGAUAAUAUAUUGAACCGCAUGGUUCAAUAGUGAAAGACGGUUUUGCUGUCACUUAUAGACGGAUCCGCGCCGCAUUAGCUAGUUGGUAAGGUAACGGCUUACCAAGGCAACGAUGCGUAGCCGACCUGAGAGGGUGAUCGGCCACACUGGAACUGAGGCAAGGUCCAGACUCCUACGGGAGGCAGCAGUAGGGAAUCUUCCGCAAUGGGCGAAAGCCUGACGGAGCAACGCCGCGGGAGUGAUGAAGGUCUUCGGAUCGUAAAACUCUGUUAUUAGGGAAGAACAAAUGUGUAAGUAACUAUGCACGUCUUGACGGUACCUAAUCAGAAAGCCACGGCUAACUACGUG